This 468-nucleotide ribosomal RNA is filed under the name uncultured bacterium. RNAcentral's name for it is "partial 16S ribosomal RNA". It matches the Rfam family "Bacterial small subunit ribosomal RNA", at positions 28 to 507 of the family's 1533-position model. The record is from RNAcentral.
GACGAACGCUGGCGGCGUGCUUAACACAUGCAAGUCGAACGGAAAGGCCCUGCUUUUGUGGGGUGCUCGAGUGGCGAACGGGUGAGUAACACGUGAGUAACCUGCCCCUGACUUUGGGAUAACUUCAGGAAACUGGGGCUAAUACCGGAUAGGAGCUCCUGCUGCAUGGGGGGGGUUGGAAAGUUUCGGCGGUUGGGGAUGGACUCGCGGCUUAUCAGCUUGUUGGUGGGGUAGUGGCUUACCAAGGCUUUGACGGGUAGCCGGCCUGAGAGGGUGACCGGCCCCAUUGGGACUGAGAUACGGCCCAGACUCCUACGGGAGGCAGGAGUGGGGAAUAUUGCACAAUGGGCGGAAGCCUGAUGCAGCAAGGCCGCGUGCGGGAUGACGGCCUUCGGGUUGUAAAGCGCUUUCGCCUGUGACGAAGCGUGAGUGACGGUAAUGGGUAAAGAAGCACCGGCUAACUACGUG